CCUUAGCCCCGAUUGACGCGACAUCCUUUUUUUGUAGGGGAAAGAGUAAUGGCAAAAAAAGAUAUAGCAGAAAGCGGGAUUAAGC
RNAcentral lists this small RNA (85 nucleotides) under Chryseobacterium arachidis. Its description in RNAcentral is "Flavo-1 RNA". It matches the Rfam family "Flavo-1 RNA". The record is from RNAcentral. Lineage: Bacteria; Pseudomonadati; Bacteroidota; Flavobacteriia; Flavobacteriales; Weeksellaceae.